GGGCUGCUACCAACCCUUUGUUGUCCGACCGCGUUGCCUCCGGGGCGACCCUGACCUUCGGGUUUUGGGGGACCCCGGGUGGACACCUAAACUCUGCGUAACUUUGCAGUCUGAGUAAUAGAUUAAAUCAAUCAAAACUUUCAACAACGGAUCUCUUGGUUCUGGCAUCGAUGAAGAACGCAGCGAAAUGCGAUAAGUAAUGUGAAUUGCAGAAUUCAGUGAAUCAUCGAAUCUUUGAACGCACAUUGCGCCCCGUGGUAUUCCGCGGGGCAUGCCUGUUCGAGCGUCAUUUCACCACUCAAGCCUCGCUUGGUAUUGGGCGACGCGGUCCGCCGCGCGCCUCAAAUCGACCGGCUGGGUCGAUCGCACCCUCAGCGUUGUGGAAACUAUUCGCUAAAGGAGUUGUGGUCGGUCACGCCGUGAAACAAACCAAUCUUUCAAUGGUUGACCUCGGAUCAGGUAGGGAUACCCGCUGAACUUAAGCAUAUCAAUAAGGCGGAGGAA
RNAcentral lists this ribosomal RNA (504 nucleotides) under Toxicocladosporium irritans. RNAcentral describes it as "eukaryotic LSU rRNA". The stretch from base 136 to 289 matches the Rfam family "5.8S ribosomal RNA". Lineage: Eukaryota; Fungi; Ascomycota; Dothideomycetes; Cladosporiales; Cladosporiaceae. The record is from RNAcentral.